Molecule: long non-coding RNA, 357 nt
Organism: Chinchilla lanigera (long-tailed chinchilla)
Lineage: Eukaryota; Metazoa; Chordata; Mammalia; Rodentia; Chinchillidae
Exons: 2
Source: RefSeq, a predicted model, not a curated record
GCCGGGCGCGCAGGGGGCGGGACCACGACUGCUUCCGGGUCAGGAGCCGCUUGCAGCCACUUCCUUUACCGAGUGACAGGAAAAGGAGACAUUAACAGCGGAUGCCAGAGAUUGAAUUCACGCCAUUGGAUUGUAGAAGGGACCUAAGUUUACCUUCACUUAUUUUUGGAAUAGACGCUUUAGAACGAUAUUGAAAUUAUUUAAAGCUGGAAAAAAGGAGGGGCACAUUUAAAAUUAUUUUUGCCUAUUUUGGAGAAAUCCAUCCAUUCUAGGGACCCAGGACCAUAAGUGAAGAACCAGUGCUUUUUUUGGUUCGGGAUUGUUGAAAAGUAGAAAGUAAAGGCAGUGUAUUUAUUC